GUGUCAGUGGAGCAUAGAGGGAAUGAGCAGGGCUCAUAACCAAGAAGGUUGCUGGUUCGAUUCCUGGCUGGGGCA
Molecule: non-coding RNA, 75 nt
Organism: Megalops atlanticus (tarpon)
Lineage: Eukaryota; Metazoa; Chordata; Actinopteri; Elopiformes; Megalopidae
Source: the annotation of a GenBank genome assembly